RNAcentral lists this ribosomal RNA (496 nucleotides) under uncultured bacterium. Its description in RNAcentral is "partial 16S ribosomal RNA". It matches the Rfam family "Bacterial small subunit ribosomal RNA", at positions 28 to 507 of the family's 1533-position model. The record is from RNAcentral.
GACGAACGCUGGCGGCGUGCCUAAUACAUGCAAGUAGAACGCUGAAGAGAGGAGCUUACUCUUCUUGGAUGAGUUGCGAACGGGUGAGUAACGCGUAGGUAACCUGCCUUGUAGCGGGGGAUAACUAUUGGAAACGAUAGCUAAUACCGCAUAACAAUGGAUGACACAUGUCAUUUAUUUGAAGGGGCAAUUGCUCCACUACAAGAUGGACCUGCGUUGUAUUAGCUAGUAGGUGAGGUAAUGGCUCACCUAGGCGACGAUACAUAGCCGACCUGAGAGGGUGAUCGGCCACACUGGGACUGAGACACGGCCCAGACUCCUACGGGAGGCAGCAGUAGGGAAUCUUCGGCAAUGGGGGCAACCCUGACCGAGCAACGCCGCGUGAGUGAAGAAGGUUGUCGGAUCGUAAAGCUCUGUUGUAAGUCAAGAACGGGUGUGAGAGUGGAAAGUUCACACUGUGACGGUAGCUUACCAGAAAGGGACGGCUAACUACGUG